This 1051-nucleotide long non-coding RNA is filed under the name Mytilus galloprovincialis (Mediterranean mussel). Lineage: Eukaryota; Metazoa; Mollusca; Bivalvia; Mytilida; Mytilidae. The record is from RNAcentral.
CUUUGGUAUAAUUGAAUUGGAUAAAAACAUUGAGAAGGAACCAAUCAUAUAAUAUAUUUAUGACAUAACCAAAACAAGAUUAUAAACAAUAACCUGAGGUAUGUAAUGUGUAUUGAGUGGACAGGUGAUUGAUAUAUGAGGUUAAAAGAAAGUCUGUGAAGUCAGCCAGGGCACAUGAACCAAAACAAUACUGAGAUAUCUACUUGUCAACACAUAAAUAUGUAACUUUAUUCUCUAUGUGCCUGUCCAAAGUCAGGAGACUGUAACUCAGUGGUUGUUGUUUGUUGCUGUAUAUCAUUUCCUUGGGUACAUAAAUCAGUCUGUUGGUUUUCUUAUUUGAAUUUUCACAUUUUAUUUUUAUAUGUGGGGCUAUUAUAGUCUGCUAUGCAAUAUGGGUUUUGUCCAUUUUUGAAGGCUAUUUGGUGACCUCGGGGGUCAUUUCAUCGAUGACGAUGACGGAUAGUUGUCUCAUUGGAAAUCAUAUCAUAUCUCCUUAUUUUAUAUCAAUCUGUAUGAUUGGUACUUUAGUGUCUUUGGUGUUUUUUCAAGCUGUUCCUUGAUCUGAUAAAUUGAUCCUGUUUAACUGAUUUUUAUAGCUUUUCUUAUGAUGUGGUAUCACACCACUAUCUUAGCUUUGGGCAGGGUUAGGUCCUUACAAACACCUACCUGUCCAAAGUCAGGUGUCUGAGUAUUGGUUGUUGGUUGCUGAAUGCCAUAUUUGUUUUCCUUUCAUUGUUUUCAAUGAUUAGGAUGUUGGUUUAUUUCUAAAUUGUUUCUUUUUUUGUUAUUUCAUGCCUUUUAUAGCUUACAAUAUUGUAUGGGUUUUUCUGAUUAUUGAAGGUGACCUAUAGCUGCUAACAUCCACACUAUUUUUCUCUGAUUAAAGGUUGUCUCAUUGGCAAUCAUCCUACAUCUCCUUAUUUUUAUAUGAAACCUGAUCAAAUGUUACUGUUUCUCAUAUAUUUGUGCAUUCAAUAAAAAUAAGAUACAUUGAUUUAAUAACUUUCUAAAGAAAAUAUCAUACUGCGCAAUAAAUCUUCUAGUAUCCUUG